UUCCUAUAUUUAUAUAUAUUUAUAUAAAUUUUUUAAAUUAAUUUAUAUUUCUUAUCACUGAUUACCUAGUUACUUGAUAUGAAAAAAGAGUUACAUCUAUUAUAUCCAUGAAAUAUGUACUGUUUUUAUUUUGAUCUUAUUGUUUUCUUUCUUAUAUCCUUGAGAAGUAGGAAAUAGUAAAUAAACAAUACAAAGAAAAAAAAUUUAUUUAUCCAUAGCACAUCGAAAUAUAAUAUUAACAUCUUACUUGAAGUAAAAGUAUAUAUGAAUACUAAUUUCUAUUUUUUCAAAUAUUUGUUACACUAAUUUUAAAUAGUAUCUUUUAAAUACAUUUUUAAAUAAAAUAUAUAUCUGUUACUAUUUUCUAUUUCAACCAACUCUUUUUCCCGACAAUGACAUUGACCGUCUGUGUGCACGCAUUCCACGCUCAAUAUCAGGCACGCCUUCUGUAAGUGGCGCGAUCACCGCGCAUCGCGCAUAGUCUGGCGCUAGCUUCACGUAGUACCUGCGUAUUUGAAUUGGCGGCAUUCUGGUUGCUGUUCGCGGCGCGGCGGAGAGAAUGGACGAGAUUGCGUCUGCCCCCCCUAUUUGAUUCGCGCGAGUCGGAGUCUGGCAAUGGAACAAAAAUAAUCUCUUACAACGGAAGGUAAUCAAGUCGAUAAUGUUUAUGAUCGAGAGCGCGUCUCGGUGCGUAAAAAGAUUGAAAUUUCGAUUGUUCGUCAGACACCUUGUCGGCACUGAAGCGCGACUUUGUAGCGGCGAUGGCUACAUUUUGCUGGCGUUAUUAUUACGUUAUACAUAUUAUAUUACAGUCGUUAUUAGUGGAUUUAUUACUUAUCAUAUUACCUGGAGAGAAAGGAGGCGGUAGGCGCGCCGUAAAUGAAAUAUGAAUUCAUAAAAAAGUGAAGGGGAUCAAAAUAUGUCAUACGUUGUUUUUUAAUGCAGGUUCAAAUGCGGAAAAUAUUGGCGCGUGUGACGAAUAUUUUACACUUAAGUAACGUUGUUACUGUAAAUAGAUAAUGAUAUAGCAUUUUCGUGAUGUGCAGGAUACGGUCUGAGAUGUCGGGACGGAGACUGAAAUCACGGAAGGAGACGACAAGAUGGCGUCGAGACGUUCGCUAUUAACGACGCGGGAUUUCGAUAAAUAUUAUAUGUUCUACAACUUCGCGCAUCAUUAAAUGAAUGCAACCUGAGAAGAAGUCAUGAAGGAACUGAGCAGUUGGCAGUUUGAAAGGAACAGAAGGACUAAGGUAGGCAUCAGGCGACGCGACGGAGCGAUUAUGGGAUACGUGGAUCCAGACAUGAGACCUUUCGACUUUUCCAAAUAUUUCAAAGUGUUCCUAAGGGAGCCGCCGAUGCAGC
Long non-coding RNA from Monomorium pharaonis (pharaoh ant), 1362 nucleotides. RefSeq lists it as uncharacterized. Lineage: Eukaryota; Metazoa; Arthropoda; Insecta; Hymenoptera; Formicidae. The transcript is spliced from 4 exons. The record is from RefSeq and is a predicted model, not a curated record.